Molecule: long non-coding RNA, 1880 nt
Organism: Scatophagus argus
Lineage: Eukaryota; Metazoa; Chordata; Actinopteri; Scatophagidae
Exons: 3
Source: RefSeq, a predicted model, not a curated record
CACUAUAGACAACUGUUUGGUGCUAAUCGCUCGAUCGCCUCCUCCAGCCAAUCAAUACACAAACCAGUGACAUCACCACAACACGCACUGCUGUCCUGCAAUGUCUGCACCUGUAUGUUGGAGAUAAUUCCAGCGAAUUCUUCCUCAGCUGCUCAGAUUCUCAGGAGCCUGUUGGCGUUCUGAGCAUCAUGACUGAGGACACGCUGCCACUGAUUAACAGCAUUGCAGUCAUCCUUGAAGGAAACUUUGUCAUGGAUGAGAUUCCCACAACCUCUCAAGCACUUUGUCUUCUGUUCGGGUUAAUGUUUGCACCCCAUCUGGAUUACCCCAAAGGUAUGAAGAACACAUUUGAGUUCAUCCAGAAGAUAUUGUUGAACCUCGGACAACAAAACCUUAGCCCAAAACUGCAAACAUUAAAAAAUGCUCUUUUGUUCUAGACGUUGUGUAGGGAUAGCUGUACUGGUUUUCUACAUAUGUGUGGUAUGUGAAUGAGUAUGAUGGGGCUGAACAACUAAACAAAACAUUAUUUAAUAUUUUAUGUGUAUAUUUUUACUGUAUUGAAUAUUAUGUUUAACUUGAUUCUUUUUUUUAUGUUUUGAUAAUGAAACCAUGACAGAAUACUUUUCUUUUUAAAUUUUUUGGUGGAGCUGCAGAGGCCUCUAUGUUGUAUUCUUAAGAAAUAUAUAGACACAUUUUAUACACAACAUGGUGAGAAUGAUUCUUCUAACAAAAAUUAUGAAUCCUUACAAUAACUGUCAAAAGAAUAGCAUUGUUUUUUGGUUUUUUUUGUUUGUUUGUUUGUUUUACUCAGCCUCAUUUCAUCUCAUACUCAUCUGGCUCAAUAUUAUGGGUGUGCAGUUACUGGUACCUCAUAAUUACAGAAAGGGAGGAAGUACUUCAGGAGCCAACAGUAUUAAAAAAAAAAAAGAAAAGUAUCUAUUGAGAUACCUACUUGUUGUAUUUGCUGAGUUUUGCAUUUCAGAUUGGAAAGUAUAAAAAAGUGCCAUCAGUGCAUGUGUUCAGUGAGUAAAAACUGUUGAAAAAGAGCAUACAGUAUAUGAUGUUUAGUAUUAGUGUAGUGGGCAACAAAUGUUGAAUAUAUCAAAGUUGUUAAAGCUGACUUACAUUUUGCUGCUUUGAAGGUAUGUAAUAAUCCAGUUUUAAUUAUCAGGUUUUAUUCAGGUUUUAAUUUUUUACAGACUAAAUGUUGCCAGGUCUGUUUGUUGCUGUGAGACAUUCAGGAAAGUGUCCAUUGUGAAUCAAGGGCCUUCUGUUAGCUUAUACCCAGACCAGUCAGCACACCUCACUCAUGCUCAUUCUCACUUUCAAGUCUCACUCAUACAUCACAUCACUGACAUACACUUACAUCUCACUCAUAUGCACACUCAUACACUCAGUCUCUCUCCCAAACGCGUAAUAUUGAGGCAGUAAUUUAGAGGAAGGCAUAACUUAGCAGGAAUCCGAAGCAAUCAGCCAACUACAAGGAAGGAUUUGCCUCUAAUUGGCCUUAGCAUCAUUUAUUCCCCCUGUUUUCUCUCCUCUGGUCGCCGACUGGCCUGGUUCUCUGCUAACAGAAGGGUUUGGACUAAGCUGAACAAUUAAUCGCAGUAUUAACAAAAAUCAUAUGGCCAAGUACUAUUAUUCAAAUUACAGUAUAUGUAUUUUUUUUGAUAGGUCAAAUUUGGUAAACCCCAUUAAAAACUAAGUAUAUGUGGUGCUAAAGAGAUAGUCUGUCCUUUAUUCAUCUAUCCCUUCCAAUUGUUCAGCCAAACUCAACCUUUGAUGAUCUCUUUACAGACAAGUUUACAAAUGAACAGCAUGUUGAUUAUUAUUGUUGUUGUUUACAGAUACUGAAAUAAAAAAACAUGUUUGUAUUGCCA